AUUCUUUGUAGUUCAUAAACAUAAUGACUAGAUUUUCAUGCUCCUGUAUGAAAUGUGCCUCCCUCAGAAUUUGUAAAGGUGAUGUCAGCAUAUCACCUGUCUGACA
Otolemur garnettii (small-eared galago) is the source of this 106-nucleotide small nucleolar RNA. The record is from Ensembl. Lineage: Eukaryota; Metazoa; Chordata; Mammalia; Primates; Galagidae.